UACAGAGGUCCCAAGCGUUGUUCGGAUUCACUGGGCGUAAAGGGUGCGUAGGUGGCCGGGUAAGUCUGACGUGAAAUCUCCGAGCCUAACUCGGAAACUGCAUCGGAUACUAUCCGGCUUGAGGGUUGGAGGGGGGACUGGAAUACUUGGUGUAGCAGUGAAAUGCGUAGAUAUCAAGUGGAGCACCAGUGGCGAAGGUGAGUCCCUGGACAACUCCUGACACUGAGGCACGAAAGCUAGGGGAGCAAACAGG
This 253-nucleotide ribosomal RNA is filed under the name uncultured bacterium. RNAcentral describes it as "partial 16S ribosomal RNA". It matches the Rfam family "Bacterial small subunit ribosomal RNA", at positions 524 to 776 of the family's 1533-position model. The record is from RNAcentral.